Molecule: ribosomal RNA, 253 nt
Filed under: uncultured bacterium
Lineage: Bacteria
Description: partial 16S ribosomal RNA
Rfam family: Bacterial small subunit ribosomal RNA
Source: RNAcentral
UACGGAGGGUGCAAGCGUUAUCCGGAUUCACUGGGUUUAAAGGGUGCGUAGGUGGGUAGGUAAGUCAGUGGUGAAAUCUCCGAGCUUAACUCGGAAACUGCCAUUGAUACUAUUUAUCUUGAAUAUUUUGGAGGUGAGCGGAAUAUGUCAUGUAGCGGUGAAAUGCUUAGAUAUGACAUAGAACACCAAUUGCGAAGGCAGCUUACUACACAGUCAUUGACACUGAGGCACGAAAGCGUGGGGAUCAAACAGG